This 600-nucleotide ribosomal RNA is filed under the name uncultured bacterium. RNAcentral's name for it is "bacterial SSU rRNA". It matches the Rfam family "Bacterial small subunit ribosomal RNA", at positions 100 to 697 of the family's 1533-position model. The record is from RNAcentral.
GACGGGUGANCNAUGCUUGGGAAUAUGCCUUAUGGUGGGGGACAACAGUUGGAAACGACUGCUAAUACCGCAUGAUGUCUACGGACCAAAGUGGGGGACCUUCGGGCCUCACGCCAUAAGAUUAGCCCAAGUGGGAUUAGCUAGUUGGUGAGGUAAUGGCUCACCAAGGCGACGAUCCCUAGCUGGUUUGAGAGGAUGAUCAGCCACACUGGGACUGAGACACGGCCCAGACUCCUACGGGAGGCANUUUUNNNGAAUAUUGCACAAUGGGCGCAAGCCUGAUGCAGCCAUGCCGCGUGUGUGAAGAAGGCCUUCGGGUUGUAAAGCACUUUCAGUAAGGAGGAAAGGUUAAGUGUUAAUAGCACUUAGCUGUGACGUUACUUACAGAAGAAGCACCGGCUAACUCCGUGCCAGCAGCCGCGGUAAUACGGAGGGUGCGAGCGUUAAUCGGAAUUACUGGGCGUAAAGCGUACGCAGGCGGUUUGUUAAGCGAGAUGUGAAAGCCCCGGGCUCAACCUGGGAACUGCAUUUCGAACUGGCAAACUAGAGUGUGAUAGAGGGUGGUAGAAUUUCAGGUGUAGCGGUGAAAUGCGUANAGAU